GCCUCUGUGGCUUAGUGGUAUAGCAGCAGUUUUGUAAACUGCAGGUCGGGGGUUCAAAUCCCUCCAGAGGCU
Molecule: transfer RNA, 72 nt
Filed under: Candidatus Woesearchaeota archaeon
Lineage: Archaea; Nanobdellati; Candidatus Woesearchaeota
Description: tRNA-Thr
Rfam family: tRNA
About the family: Transfer RNA (tRNA) molecules are approximately 80 nucleotides in length. Their secondary structure includes four short double-helical elements and three loops (D, anti-codon, and T loops). Further hydrogen bonds mediate the characteristic L-shaped molecular structure. tRNAs have two regions of fundamental functional importance: the anti-codon, which is responsible for specific mRNA codon recognition, and the 3' end, to which the tRNAs corresponding amino acid is attached (by aminoacyl-tRNA synthetases). tRNAs cope with the degeneracy of the genetic code in two manners: having more than one tRNA (with a specific anti-codon) for a particular amino acid; and 'wobble' base-pairing, i.e. permitting non-standard base-pairing at the 3rd anti-codon position.
Source: RNAcentral